GCGCUUGUAGCUCAGUUGGAUAGAGCACACGCCUUCUAAGCGUGUGGUCGUGAGUUCGAAUCUCGCCAAGCGCGCCA
This 77-nucleotide transfer RNA is filed under the name Mycoplasma sp. RNAcentral's name for it is "tRNA-Arg". It matches the Rfam family "tRNA". Rfam says of the family: Transfer RNA (tRNA) molecules are approximately 80 nucleotides in length. Their secondary structure includes four short double-helical elements and three loops (D, anti-codon, and T loops). Further hydrogen bonds mediate the characteristic L-shaped molecular structure. tRNAs have two regions of fundamental functional importance: the anti-codon, which is responsible for specific mRNA codon recognition, and the 3' end, to which the tRNAs corresponding amino acid is attached (by aminoacyl-tRNA synthetases). tRNAs cope with the degeneracy of the genetic code in two manners: having more than one tRNA (with a specific anti-codon) for a particular amino acid; and 'wobble' base-pairing, i.e. permitting non-standard base-pairing at the 3rd anti-codon position. Lineage: Bacteria; Bacillati; Mycoplasmatota; Mollicutes; Mycoplasmatales; Mycoplasmataceae. The record is from RNAcentral. RNAcentral also lists the same sequence under 3 other names.